RNAcentral lists this ribosomal RNA (492 nucleotides) under uncultured bacterium. RNAcentral describes it as "partial 16S ribosomal RNA". It matches the Rfam family "Bacterial small subunit ribosomal RNA", at positions 29 to 507 of the family's 1533-position model. The record is from RNAcentral.
AGUGAACGCUGGCGGUAGGCCUAACACAUGCAAGUCGAACGGCAGCACAGUAAGAGCUUGCUCUUACGGGUGGCGAGUGGCGGACGGGUGAGGAAUACAUCGGAAUCUACUUUUUCGUGGGGGAUAACGUAGGGAAACUUACGCUAAUACCGCAUACGACCUACGGGUGAAAGCAGGGGAUCUUCGGACCUUGCGCGAUUGAAUGAGCCGAUGUCGGAUUAGCUAGUUGGCGGGGUAAAGGCCCACCAAGGCGACGAUCCGCAGCUGGUCUGAGAGGAUGAUAGGCCACAUUGGAACUGAGACACGGUCCAGACUCCUACGGGAGGCAGCAGUGGGGAAUAUUGGACAAUGGGCGCAAGCCUGAUCCAGCCAUCCCGCGUGGGUGAAGAAGGCCUUCGGGUUGUGAAGCCCUUUUGUUGGGAAAGAAAAGCAGCAGGUUAAUACCCCGCUGUUCUGACGGUACCCAAAGAAUAAGCACCGGCUAACUUCGUG